GGGGACCUUUCACAACAGUGUGAAAAUAGGCCGACCGUGACACCACCGCACCGGUUCUGCAGUCCAUCUCUACGAUACAACUAACGAUGCCGCCCUUUCUUCCCCCUCUCACAGGACGACGCAUCUCUGGCACUCCGCCGCGGCACCGUGGGCGAGGCCCAGAUCCCCAGACUUGGUCCACCAUCGCGGCACGGCUUACGCAGGCACCCCCUCUAGCAUCUGCUGUUCAAGCAUUUAACAUGGUUCAAAUUUCGAUUCAGGAUUUUAGGAUCACUGCACCAUGGCGUACAGCAUCAACCAGCCAAGUGGAAUCAGUCCCCUUUUUGUCCCCCGUUGGACAACCAUAACAACAAGAACCACAAUAAUGAUUCUCUGAAGAAUUCCUUGGCACCUUGUCAACUUUGAAGCCAAGAUUUUCACAGCCUUUACGAAGGACUUGAUUUUGGAAUCCCUCUUCUGCACAAUCCUCUGUUACACCGAUUCUUUCACACACAGUAUCCAUGGCUGAUAAAUAUUGGGAGCUCCCAAAGAGUGGGAUCUUGUGGUUCUCAACCCAUUCCCAGAGCACAGACUCAGGUGUUUUGAUGGACGCAGACCAGUUUAUAGCAGAUCCUCCACCUAGUGUUGAUCCUGCUAGAAUCAUCACUUUAGCAUCAGUAGUUGGAAUGAUGCCUCCUAGUUCAUAGAGCUGAUUAAAAGAUGGUCCUUCCAAAGAAGAAUAAUCUGCUGGAGAAAAAUAAUUUCCUUUCUCGAGAACCACCACCUUCUGGCCAGAACCUGCAAGAACAGCAGCUGCAACACCUCCACCGCACCCACUACCAACAAUUGCUACAUCACAUUUGAUCUUAUAGAGGUUUCUUUGGGUAUCUUCAACGACUUUGAGGCCUUUCUGGAUCAGGGAUUGGAGGAUGGUUGAAUCAGUUUCAUACAUGGUCUCUACCAUUCCAUUCUGAAGGGGCCUCUCUUUCCGCAAUCUAGACAGGUUUUCAUUAGCGAACACUUUGUAAUCCAUGGCUUCCCAUGCUGGGUUUUCUGAAUCCUCAUUAGUCUGUCGAAAGAUUGUUGAAAUAAAAAAUUUUAAAAGGGUCUUCUAUUUACAGUUAAUGUAUCUGCAAGUUGUUAAA
This is a long non-coding RNA of Malania oleifera, 1124 nucleotides long. RefSeq lists it as uncharacterized. NCBI's taxonomy places the organism in Eukaryota, Viridiplantae, Streptophyta, Magnoliopsida, Santalales, Ximeniaceae. The record is from RefSeq and is a predicted model, not a curated record. The transcript is spliced from 2 exons.